RNAcentral lists this ribosomal RNA (273 nucleotides) under uncultured bacterium. Its description in RNAcentral is "partial 16S ribosomal RNA". It matches the Rfam family "Bacterial small subunit ribosomal RNA", at positions 524 to 796 of the family's 1533-position model. The record is from RNAcentral.
UACGGAGGGUGCAAGCGUUGUCCGGAAUUAUUGGGCGUAAAGGGCGUGUAGGCGGCUUUGCAAGUCUGGUGUGAAAGCCCCCGGCUCAACCGGGGAAGUGCAUCGGAAACUGCAAGGCUUGAGUGCGGGAGAGGGAGGUGGAAUUCCCAGUGUAGCGGUGAAAUGCGUAGAUAUUGGGAGGAACACCGGUUGCGAAGGCGGCCUCCUGGACCGUCACUGACGCUGAGACGCGAAAGCGUGGGGAGCAAACAGGAUUAGAUACCCCCGUAGUCC